Esox lucius (northern pike) is the source of this 683-nucleotide long non-coding RNA. Lineage: Eukaryota; Metazoa; Chordata; Actinopteri; Esociformes; Esocidae. The record is from Ensembl.
CUAGACUAGAGGAACUGUCCGACUGUCGGGCACGAGAAGUCCUAAUACUUCAUGAUAUAUUUUUUAUUAAAAAUACAGAUUUUGUGUAUUACCCUAGAAAGUACUUUCUUUUAAUCGUUACCUACCUUUGUGAAUAUCUCUUAUCCUACGUGCCGAACUGUAUCACUCCAACCCAGAUACAUCCCAAUAACUCAGGCAACCACUAAAAGUAGAGGAGAGGGAUCCAGCCUAAACGUGCCUCUAAUCAGCCGACGGCAUGGUAAGGCAGCUUCUCAGCCGCCGAUAGCCACCAGAAAACCAGUAGGCUUGGAGGAGUAAAUAACACAGACUCGGAGAGAGGAGGAAUGUCAGAGCCAGGACCAAACCCAUAAAGACUGAGACGAAAACCAAAAAAAGAGGAGUCCGGACAGACAGAAAAGUGGAAGAAGAUAUCCUAGGAUUAGUGGCUAAUCCGGGCCACGACCAAUCCCCAGAGGAUUCCCCUUUUUUCCUUCUCAAGACACAGACAGCCGCCAGAUUACUGCAGUAAAUGUAUUGGCUUUCAGAGACUUAACUUAUUAUGUUUUUUAAACCAAAGAAGGCUUGGUAUUAGCUCGGCCCUAUCAGAUGCCUAGAGUGUGGGCCGCUGGAUUUUUGUAACUCUGAAAACAAAGGAUCAGGAAGAGAGGAGCACAAGGCAGGGG